RNA transcript from Spinacia oleracea (spinach), 3561 nucleotides. RefSeq lists it as uncharacterized. The transcript is spliced from 4 exons. NCBI's taxonomy places the organism in Eukaryota, Viridiplantae, Streptophyta, Magnoliopsida, Caryophyllales, Amaranthaceae. The record is from RefSeq and is a predicted model, not a curated record.
AUACAAGGAAAACUCACGAGUCCUUUUUUUUUGUUUUUAAUUUUUGGGUAUUAUUUGUGUAAAUAAUUUCUUUAGGGUUUCUGUAUUUUAUCAGAAGUCAUAAUUUCAGGGUGAAAAAAAAAAUCUUCAUCAACAUAAUUUGAAGAAAAAUGGGAAUUUUAUAUUCAUGAUCAAAAUUCCAAAAUAUGGGAACUUGUCUGUGGUAGAAGGCACUUAGUGAUCUUUCACAAAAGAGCGAAAGCAGACUCAAGACAUUUGGUUCUGAGGUUUAACAGUAUACUUGAUACGAGAAAUCCUUUGUAGAAAUGGAAUGUAACAAAGAUGAGGCUGGUAAGGCUAAAGAACUUGCUGAGAAGAAGUUUGUGGAGAAGGAUUUAAUGGGAGCAAGGAAAUUUGCAUUGAAGGCUCUUAACUUGUUUCCUGGACUAGAGGGCCUUCAACCAAUGCUGGCAACUCUAAAUAUUUACCUCUCUGCUGAGCGAAAAAUUAAUGGAGAAGUUGAUUGGUAUGGAGUACUUGGUGUUGAUCCAUCAAGUGAUGAUGAAACAGUGAAGAAAAUGUACAGGAAACUUGCCCUUACUCUUCACCCUGACAAAAACAAAUCUGUUGGUGCAGAGGGAGCAUUCAAAAUUCUUUCUGAAGCUUGGAGUUUAUUGUCUGACAAAGGCAGGAGAACAACAUAUGACCAAAAGAGAUGCGUAAAGAAGGUGUUUGAGAAAGUCAUACCAAAGAAGCCUUCAAAACCAGUUGGCAAGAACAGUAUUCGUCGUUCUGUCAACAAUGGUAAUUUUAACAUGAAGAGUCAGAAUGCCCCGAAUCCCCAUUUAAUAAAUUUAGUACGUCCACCACAACGUAAUACAUUCUGGACUAUGUGUACCACUUGCAAAAUGCAAUUUGAGUAUGUGCUUGUCUACCUCAACAAAAAGCUUGAAUGCUACAACUGCAAGGAGGCUUUUCAGGCAAUACAAAUCCCACCUCCGGAGACAAAUGCUAAUCCACCACAAGCUGCUCGAUUGCCCCAAUACCCCGUUGCCUCAGGAAAUGCAGGAAGCAUGCCUGCUGCAGCUUCCUCAGCUGCGCAAGCCAUGAAUGGUACGAAGAGAAUGCAUGAAAAUUCACAAGCCAGUGCUACCUUGGAGGCUGUAAUGAAGAGCAAAAGUAAUACCUUCAAGGGUAAUGUCGGGGAAGCUAAUGGAGCAGGCUCUACGGUGAACGGUCAGAAGCCUAAAAGAAGAAGACGUGCAAGUGAACAUAAGGUGAAUGACAGUGGAAUUGCAAAGACCGAAUGGCAGUUGAGGGGAAAUGCAGCUUCUAGCAUUGGGGUUUCAAAUGGAUUUCAGAAUGGUAUUACUGAAACAGAGAGGGUAUCUUUUUUUGGGACUAGAUUUCCAGCUAUCUCAAGAGAAUUGACACUACUUGAGACUCGAUAUAUGUUGAUGGCAAAAGCAAAGACUGAAAUUUGCAAAAAACUGGAAGAAUAUAAGAACAUGGAUGGCAAGCUGAAGGCUUCAAACACAGAGGGUGGUUUGAGAGAAAAAGAAAAGACGAAAUUAUCUAGUUCUAAAACUCAGCCAAAUUCUGUAGUAAGAACCGUUGGAAGCAAGCCUGAAGCAUGUGCACAAGUCAAGCACCCAGAUAUAAAACUCAAGACCGAUUCAUCCUCCAAUGAACCUGACUCCGAGGUAACCGAGCAUGUACCAUUGUCUAUGACUGUUCCAGAUGCGGAUUUCCAUGAUUUUGACAACGACCGAACUGAAAAGUCUUUUGGUGACAAUCAAGUAUGGGCAGCUUAUGACAAUGAAGAUGGUAUGCCCCGGUACUAUGCCAUGGUUCAUAGUGUGAUCUCGAAGAAGCCAUUUAAGAUGCGCAUCAGUUGGCUAAACUCUAAAAGCACCUCUGAGUUCGGGUCCAUAAACUGGGUUGGGUGUGGGUUCUACAAAACGAAUGGAGAUUUUAGAGUAGGUAGGCAUGAAAUCAACAAAAGUGUGAAUUCCUUCUCACAUAGAGUGAAAUGGACGAAAGGAGCAAGAGGGGCCAUCCGAAUAUAUCCAAGUAAGGGAGAUAUAUGGGCUUUAUACAGGAAUUGGUCCUCUGAGUGGGACGAGCAUACCCCGGAUGAGGUAGUGCACCAAUAUGACAUGGUGGAGGUCCUUGAUGAUUACAACGAGGAGAAAGGAGCAACUGUCAUUCCCCUGGUGAAGGUUACUGGUUUCAAGACUGUGUUCCGCAAACAAAUGGAUCAGGAACAAGUCAGGGUAAUUCCAAGGGAAGAAAUGUUCAGAUUUUCCCAUCAAGUUCCUUCAUUCUUGCUUACUGGUGAAGAAUCUGCUACUGCCCCCAAGGGUUGCUGGGAGCUUGACCCUGCUGCUACCCCAGUCGAACUACUUGAGGUGAUGACAACAGAAGUUAAAGCGGAAAAUACUGAGAAAGCUGCAAGAGAUGGUGUAUCUGAUAUGACAGAAGCAAGUUGGAGUAACAUUGCAACAAGUGAAGCACAGAAGAUAGGAGAGGGGACAAGUUUUGAGGUGGGUGCUUCAGUUGGAUAGAGAUCAUGAAAAGAAACAGGAACAUCAUACUGAUUUAUCGUAAUUUAUUUGAACAUAAAAUGGUAUGGGGAAUUUUUUUUGCGAGUGCUGAAGAUUUGAAAGACGUUAGAGGUAUCAUGGGAUGUUUCAUGCAGUAGCUGGUCUCCUUUCUUCAGGUUUUGCUCGAGGGAACCAAUCGCAUAAUCAUUUUUUUUUGGUAUGGGGGAUCUUUUGUGUAGUGUACAGCUUCAGUUACCACAGGCAAACAGGUCUUUUUUUGUUCUUAUAGUUUCAUAUUUUAUAGCAAACAGCAAGGGAGGGAAAAAAAACUCCUGGAUCUUUCUCUGAAUUCCUUUUCCUAUUUGAGAUCUCAGUCAUAUUUAUCAACUAUUGUUUGAUCAUACUUACUAUGGUAAGUCUGUGGCUGGUGCUGUAGCCUGUACAAUUUCGUUUAUGUAUUGCUUAAAUUAUUUCUUGAAAGCCUGUAAUUGUUCAUUUGUGCUUCAGGCUUCUGAGUAUUAUAUUCAGGAUAAACUACAAAUGUUAUGCCUGCUGAAGCGGUCUCAUAUAAACUCCUUUGGUUGGUGGACAGUGGUAACCGGCUUUGUGUAGGCACGCCGUUACACGUCGACCUGCUGCGGUUUUUCCAGUAGAGGUUGAGCAAAUGAAAUAUGAAGAUAGUUUCUGAACAACUGUUGCAUUUUGAAGGAAUUGGAGGAAGUACACUGUAUAUAUAUAUUUUUAUCAGGAAAGAAAGCAAGAAGAACUACUUACAAUCACCAUGAAUGAUGAGUUACAAGCUUUAGGAACAUAAAUUUUUUUCCGCGCGACACAUGCCUCUCUCGGUCCCAACUGAAAAUUCAUUCCCGUAAUCUUUCAUGUACCAUACUUUUCAUACACAAAAUUUUGUAAAAGAUAGUCAAUUUGCUAAUUAUCAUAUAACAUAUUAUGUUUUAUCAAAAACAAAAAAUAUAACAUAUUAUGUCAUUAAUCUCUAUCUGAUUGACGUGCUAAUACCAUAAUUGAUUCGUACUAA